This 800-nucleotide ribosomal RNA is filed under the name uncultured bacterium. RNAcentral's name for it is "bacterial SSU rRNA". It matches the Rfam family "Bacterial small subunit ribosomal RNA", at positions 8 to 807 of the family's 1533-position model. The record is from RNAcentral.
AGAGUUUGAUCAUGGCUCAGGACGAACGCUGGCGGCGUGCCUAACACAUGCAAGUCGAGCGGGGAUCAUAUAGGGAAGUCUUCGGAUGGAACGGUAUGAUUCUAGCGGCGGACGGGUGAGUAACGCGUGAGCAACCUGCCUAUCACAGGGGGAUAACGCACCGAAAGGUGUGCUAAUACCGCAUAAGACCACAUUGGGGACAUCCCAAAGGGGUCAAAGGAGGAAUCCGGUGAGAGAUGGGCUCGCGUCUGAUUAGCUAGUUGGUGAGGUAACGGCCCACCAAGGCGACGAUCAGUAGCCGACCUGAGAGGGUGAUCGGCCACAUUGGAACUGAGAGACGGUCCAAACUCCUACGGGAGGCAGCAGUGGGGAAUAUUGGGCAAUGGGGGAACCCUGACCCAGCGACGCCGCGUGAAGGAAGAAGGUCUUCGGAUCGUAAACUUCUAUCCUUGGUGAAAAUAAUGAUGGUAGCCAAGAAGGAAGCCCCGGCUAACUACGUGCCAGCAGCCGCGGUAAUACGUAGGGGGCAAGCGUUGUCCGGAAUGAUUGGGCGUAAAGGGCGCGUAGGCGGCCGGUUAAGUCUGAAGUGAAAGUCCUGCUUUCAAGGUGGGAACUGCUUUGGAUACUGGCAGGCUUGAGUGCAGGAGAGGUAAGCGGAAUUCCCGGUGUAGCGGUGAAAUGCGUAGAGAUCGGGAGGAACACCAGUGGCGAAGGCGGCUUACUGGACUGUAACUGACGCUGAGGCGCGAAAGUGUGGGGAGCAAACAGGAUUAGAUACCCUGGUAGUCCACACUGUAAAC